RNAcentral lists this long non-coding RNA (676 nucleotides) under Physcomitrium patens. RNAcentral's name for it is "long non-coding RNA (PPAT_LNC013081)". The record is from RNAcentral. Lineage: Eukaryota; Viridiplantae; Streptophyta; Bryopsida; Funariales; Funariaceae.
CUUUUGAGGCUAGGGUCAGAAGGUUUAGGGUUUUGGGUAUAAUUUGGGUGAAGAUUUUGUGUGAUUUCGAGUUUUUAUGGAAAAGAUAUGAAUGUUCAAAGAUAAGGUGUCAAUUUCGUACCUACUGUCUUUUCUUUUGGGCAUCACAUACGAAUACAGAGAGCAACGGAAGAUCGGCGACUGGACUUGGAGGGAGCAUUUUCUCAGCUACACAUUCUACUUACUGUAUAGUGAAUUCUUAUAUUAGAUGAAGGAGUUAUGAGGCGUUGAAGACAGCACUUGUAAUUUGAAGGCAGUAAGUAUAUCGUUUUGUUGCUAGUUAUGGGUGAAGCCAUAUCUUGAGUUUCUGGACGAAUUUUUGGCUUAAAAUUUCUACAAGUGUGUGUAAUUGGGUUAAGAGGCUUUAGAUCAAAGUUUCAUAGUAUUUAAAUAAUUACUUUGUGAGAUAUGAAGGAAGUUGUACACGGGUGUAAAAAAGCUAGGGUUUGAAGCUACAGUUAGGGUUUUCAAGAUAUCACAAGAUCCAAGAUGAAUUUACGGUUGAAUUUUGGUGUGAUAGUUGCUAAAGAUAUAUCAGUACUCUAUGUAAAAUUUGGAGUUGUUUAGACGGUUAGAUCGUAAGUUAUGAGCUGUUGAACUUCGGGAAAAAUUCCUCAUAAGGAUAUAUAAGUUUUUU